Molecule: ribosomal RNA, 484 nt
Filed under: uncultured bacterium
Lineage: Bacteria
Description: partial 16S ribosomal RNA
Rfam family: Bacterial small subunit ribosomal RNA
Source: RNAcentral
AUUGAACGCUGGCGGCAGGCCUAACACAUGCAAGUCGAGCGGAUGAAGGGAGCUUGCUCCUGGAUUCAGCGGCGGACGGGUGAGUAAUGCCUAGGAAUCUGCCUGGUAGUGGGGGAUAACGUCCGGAAACGGGCGCUAAUACCGCAUACGUCCUGAGGGAGAAAGUGGGGGAUUUUCGGACCUCACGCUAUCAGAUGAGCCUAGGUCGGAUUAGCUAGUUGGUGGGGUAAAGGCCUACCAAGGCGACGAUCCGUAACUGGUCUGAGAGGAUGAUCAGUCACACUGGAACUGAGACACGGUCCAGACUCCUACGGGAGGCAGCAGUGGGGAAUAUUGGACAAUGGGCGAAAGCCUGAUCCAGCCAUGCCGCGUGUGUGAAGAAGGUCUUCGGAUUGUAAAGCACUUUAAGUUGGGAGGAAGGGAAGUAAGUUAAUACCUUGCUGUUUUGACGUUACCAACAGAAUAAGCACCGGCUAACUUCGUG